This 73-nucleotide transfer RNA is filed under the name Paramuricea clavata. It matches the Rfam family "tRNA". From Rfam's summary of the family: Transfer RNA (tRNA) molecules are approximately 80 nucleotides in length. Their secondary structure includes four short double-helical elements and three loops (D, anti-codon, and T loops). Further hydrogen bonds mediate the characteristic L-shaped molecular structure. tRNAs have two regions of fundamental functional importance: the anti-codon, which is responsible for specific mRNA codon recognition, and the 3' end, to which the tRNAs corresponding amino acid is attached (by aminoacyl-tRNA synthetases). tRNAs cope with the degeneracy of the genetic code in two manners: having more than one tRNA (with a specific anti-codon) for a particular amino acid; and 'wobble' base-pairing, i.e. permitting non-standard base-pairing at the 3rd anti-codon position. The record is from Rfam by way of RNAcentral. Lineage: Eukaryota; Metazoa; Cnidaria; Anthozoa; Malacalcyonacea; Plexauridae.
AGCUCUGUAGCUCAGUUGGUUAGAGCGCUGCACCGGAAUCGCAGGGCCGUAGGUUCGAUUCCUGCCAGGGAUA